RNAcentral lists this ribosomal RNA (301 nucleotides) under uncultured bacterium. Its description in RNAcentral is "partial 16S ribosomal RNA". It matches the Rfam family "Bacterial small subunit ribosomal RNA", at positions 509 to 807 of the family's 1533-position model. The record is from RNAcentral.
CAGCCGCCACGGUAAUACGGAGGGUGCAAGCGUUAAUCGGAAUUACUGGGCGUAAAGCGCACGCAGGCGGUCUGACAAGUCAGAUGUGAAAUCCCCGGGCUUAACCUGGGAACUGCAUUUGAAACUGUCAGGCUGGAGUCUUGUAGAGGGGGGUAGAAUUCCAGGUGUAGCUGUGAAAUGCGUAGAGAUCUGGAGGAAUACCGGUGGCGAAGGCGGCCCCCUGGACAAAGACUGACGCUCAUGCACGAAAGCGUGGGGAGCAAACAGGAUUAGAUACCCCAGUAGUCCCUGUCUCUUAUAC